GAUGAACGCUGGCGGCGUGCCUAAUACAUGCAAGUCGAGCGAACAGACGAGGAGCUUGCUCCUCUGACGUUAGCGGCGGACGGGUGAGUAACACGUGGAUAACCUACCUAUAAGACGGGGAUAACUUCGGGAAACCGGAGCUAAUACCGGAUAAUAUAUUGAACCGCAUGGUUCAAUAGUGAAAGACGGUUUUGCUGUCACUUAUAGAGGGAUCCGCGCCGCAUUAGCUAGUUGGUAAGGUAACGGCUUACCAAGGCAACGAUGCGUAGCCGACCUGAGAGGGGGAUCGGCCGCCUUGGAACGGAGACACGGUCCAGGCUCCUGCGGGAGGCAGCAGUAGGGAAUGUUCCGCAGUGGGCGAAAGCCUGACGGAGCAAGGCCGCGUGAGUGAUAAAGGUCUUCGGAUCGUAAAGCUCUGUUAUUAGGGAAGAACAAAUGUGUAAGUAACUAUGCACGUAUUGACGGUAACUAAUCAGGAAGCCACGGCUAACUACGUG
This 497-nucleotide ribosomal RNA is filed under the name uncultured bacterium. Its description in RNAcentral is "partial 16S ribosomal RNA". It matches the Rfam family "Bacterial small subunit ribosomal RNA", at positions 28 to 507 of the family's 1533-position model. The record is from RNAcentral.